AAACGUAGGAGGCGAGCGUUAUCCGGAUUUACUGGGCGUAAAGCGCGUGCAGGCGGUUCGUCGAGUUGGAUGUGAAAGCUCCUGGCUUAACUGGGAGAGGUCGUUCAAUACUGCCGGACUCGAGAGUGGUAGAGGGAGGUGGAAUUCCGCAUGUAGUGGUGAAAUGCGUAGAUAUGCGGAGGAACACCAGUGGCGAAAGCGGCCUCCUGGCCCAUUUCUGACGCUCAGACGCGAAAGCUAGGGUAGCAAACGGGAUUAGAGACCCCGGUAGUCCUAGCUGUAAACGAUGUGAACUUGGCGUCGGCGGCUUCAAACCCGUCGGUGCCGUAGCCAACGCGAUAAGUUCACCGCCUGGGGACUACGGCCGCAAGGUUAAA
This 377-nucleotide ribosomal RNA is filed under the name uncultured bacterium. RNAcentral describes it as "bacterial SSU rRNA". It matches the Rfam family "Bacterial small subunit ribosomal RNA", at positions 523 to 898 of the family's 1533-position model. The record is from RNAcentral.